UCUGGGGUAGGGCGGGGGUGCCUUCGCCUCAGA
Molecule: regulatory RNA element, 33 nt
Organism: Gorilla gorilla gorilla (western lowland gorilla)
Lineage: Eukaryota; Metazoa; Chordata; Mammalia; Primates; Hominidae
Rfam family: MAT2A 3'UTR stem loop D
Source: Rfam